This 28-nucleotide non-coding RNA is filed under the name Cricetulus griseus (Chinese hamster). Lineage: Eukaryota; Metazoa; Chordata; Mammalia; Rodentia; Cricetidae. The record is from RNAcentral.
AUGGAUUAGACAAGAGAGUUGGGAGCAG